This 215-nucleotide long non-coding RNA is filed under the name Helianthus annuus (common sunflower). RNAcentral describes it as "sRNA HanXRQr2_Chr14g0632461". Lineage: Eukaryota; Viridiplantae; Streptophyta; Magnoliopsida; Asterales; Asteraceae. The record is from RNAcentral.
CCACAGCUCGCCGGAGACUCGGAGAAGACAGACGGAGAACACGCCGUCACCGGAGAAAGCCGACAUCACUGGAAGUUCACGCCGGACUUUUACGACGGAACUCGACACGUAACUGUUUCGGUAUAAAUCUUUCACGUUUACAUCUCAUUUCAUCAAUUUAUAACAUGGUUGAUUUGUUCAAGAUUCAAGAAACAAGCUAGGAUGGCUUUAGAUAC